This 243-nucleotide long non-coding RNA is filed under the name Hordeum vulgare. Its description in RNAcentral is "long non-coding RNA (HVUL_LNC009844)". The record is from RNAcentral. Lineage: Eukaryota; Viridiplantae; Streptophyta; Magnoliopsida; Poales; Poaceae.
GGUGUAGAGGAGAGGGUUAGAAAUAUAUUGUGGGUGUGGUUCUCGGGUCACUCUAGGUGCACAAUUGUUCAGAUAUUGUCCAUGCGACCUAAGGCUUCCUAUAGUCAGGAUGGCUCUGAUACCAUUUCUGUGGGGACCCCGACUUACUAGUCGAGAAUCGCCGUGCUCAGUGAUCCCAGAGAUCAAUGCUCACCGAACACAGAUACUGAAUAAAGAGUCUUACAUCCAAGUACUGAUUAUUAC